This 399-nucleotide ribosomal RNA is filed under the name uncultured bacterium. Its description in RNAcentral is "bacterial SSU rRNA". It matches the Rfam family "Bacterial small subunit ribosomal RNA", at positions 137 to 518 of the family's 1533-position model. The record is from RNAcentral.
GGGGGGAUAACAUCCGGAAACGGGUGCUAAUACCGCAUAGUUUCUUGAUCGCAUGAUCGGGAAAGGAAAGACGGCCUUUGUGCUGUCGCUUAUGGAUGGACCCGCGGCGUAUUAGUUAGUUGGUGAGGUAACGGCUCACCAAGACGAUGAUACGUAGCCGACCUGAGAGGGUGAUCGGCCACAUUGGGACUGAGACACGGCCCAAACUCCUACGGGAGGCAGCAGUAGGGAAUCUUCCGCAAUGGACGAAAGGUCUGACGGAGCAACGCCGCGUGAGUGAAGAAGGUUUUCGGGAAUCGUAAAACUCUGUUGUCAGAGAAGAACAAGUUGGAGAGUAACUGCUCCAGCCUUGACGGUAUCUGACCAGAAAGCCACGGCUAACUACGUGCCAGCAGCUGC